This 542-nucleotide long non-coding RNA is filed under the name Gossypium barbadense (sea-island cotton). Its description in RNAcentral is "long non-coding RNA (GBAR_LNC022231)". Lineage: Eukaryota; Viridiplantae; Streptophyta; Magnoliopsida; Malvales; Malvaceae. The record is from RNAcentral.
AUGACUUGGAUGUGGUCACUAUUCUCUGUAAUCAUGGAUUAUUUAGCUAUCUUCCCCACUGCCUCUGGAAAUGCCUUCAUUUCCUUGGCCUUUAUCUGAGUUAUGAGAUAUGCAUCACAUCUUUCUUUUAGGCAAUGGUUUUACUUUUAGAUGAUUAAUAAACUCAAAUUUGUUGCAUUGAUCUUGUGCCUACAAAUACUUUUGUAGUCUCCUUAUUCUCUUGUGCAUUCCCCAUCUCUUGCAGCUUGAAGCAAUGGGGUUUGACCGUGCAACUGUGCUCCAAGUGUUCUUUGCGUGCAACAAGAAUGAGGAACUUGCAGCCAACUACCUUUUAGAUCAUAUGCAUGAUUUUCAGGAUUGAGCUGGUAAAAGAAAUGGCUAGGGGAAGUACAAUAUCAUUUUCUCUUUCGUUCUUUGGGUCCAUUGUCAUUCAUGUCCCCCUCCCCUCCCCCCAAAACUCUACCGACUUUAUUCUUAAUCAAGUGAUGUAAGUGUUUGGUGUAGAGACAAGGGAUGUGAAGAUGUUAACUUCAUUUUUUUUU